RNAcentral lists this long non-coding RNA (1105 nucleotides) under Vulpes vulpes (red fox). RNAcentral describes it as "lncRNA (ENSVVUG00000008022.1)". The record is from RNAcentral. Lineage: Eukaryota; Metazoa; Chordata; Mammalia; Carnivora; Canidae.
CACACAGGGAGUUGGGGAAAGUGCUAAUUCACUUGACUUUUAGUCCAAGGACCUCUCUUCUACAUAUUUUUGCCAGGUCACUGGAGGGCAUUUUCAAGAAUAAGUAAUGACCUGUGAAAUGUCACUGACAGCAGCAACAAUAACAACCCAAAGACAGCAAAGGGAAGGAGGGAGAAUGCUGGGGCUUGCAGUCUCCUGCCCGCCCCUGGACAGCCUCAGUGUGGCCAAGUAGAACUGAUCCUACAUUUCUGAGAAAAAUGCCACCCAGACUUCCUCCUCUCGUGUCACAUAGAUGUGAAGAUGGAGCAGAUGAUGUCCUCUGUGAAUGUGCAGAACUCGGCAAUUGCUUCAGAGGAAGGAAGGGUCUUCAUGAGGAGUCUUAAAUGCAACUGGAAGAAAUUCCAGAUGUUCAAAAUGACAGCCACUGGUCAUGACAGUGGUGUCUCUGAAACUCUGGUGCCACACGCCUCAUGUUUGGGAUGCCCCCAGAUGCUCUGCAAGGCCUUGAUCACACCAUCUGAAACACUUGCCUGGGUCAAACAAUUUGGUAAGUCAGGCCAGUCAACAAUAACUAGCCUGUUCUCACACAGCUCACCUGGCUAGUGAAAUUCUAGGUGGAUAAUAGGUGCUCCAUAAAAACUUAAGACUAAUUUAAUAAUGAUAUAUAAUAUUUGUUAAAGACUUACUAGAUCCCAGGCCCUUUCAUAUGUACAUUGCAUGUGUUGAUUAAUAAUACCCUCCCAACAGUCUAAUGAGAUAGUUAGCAUUAUUAUCACCAUGUUUAGAGGUGAAGAAAUGUAGCCUUUGAGAACCUAAGCAACUUGACCAAGGGUACACAGAAAUGGCAGGGCUGGGCAGACUCUAUGCCCAUUAAACCAUAUGCCAACAGCCCUACAAAUUUGAUUUAAAAGUAACAUACAUGGCGCUGGGGUGGCCAUGCAUGUUAAGUGUCAGGCUUUGGCUCAGGUCAUGAUCCCAGGGAUCAUGGGAUUCAGCCCUACAUUGUGAUCCCUGCUCUGUGGGGAGCCUGCUUCUCCCCUGCUUGUGCUCUCUGUUGUUCUCUGUCUCUCAAAUAAAUACAUAAGAUCUUUUUAAAAAAGUAACA